This 40-nucleotide transfer RNA is filed under the name Pholcus anachoreta. RNAcentral's name for it is "partial tRNA-Leu". The record is from RNAcentral. Lineage: Eukaryota; Metazoa; Arthropoda; Arachnida; Araneae; Pholcidae.
GCGGAAAAUCGCAUUAAAUUUAGAAUUUAAAUACCCCUUG